Molecule: ribosomal RNA, 1471 nt
Filed under: Klebsiella pneumoniae
Lineage: Bacteria; Pseudomonadati; Pseudomonadota; Gammaproteobacteria; Enterobacterales; Enterobacteriaceae
Description: bacterial SSU rRNA
Rfam family: Bacterial small subunit ribosomal RNA
Source: RNAcentral
GGCUCAGAUUGAACGCUGGCGGCAGGCCUAACACAUGCAAGUCGAGCGGUAGCACAGAGAGCUUGCUCUCGGGUGACGAGCGGCGGACGGGUGAGUAAUGUCUGGGAAACUGCCUGAUGGAGGGGGAUAACUACUGGAAACGGUAGCUAAUACCGCAUAAUGUCGCAAGACCAAAGUGGGGGACCUUCGGGCCUCAUGCCAUCAGAUGUGCCCAGAUGGGAUUAGCUAGUAGGUGGGGUAACGGCUCACCUAGGCGACGAUCCCUAGCUGGUCUGAGAGGAUGACCAGCCACACUGGAACUGAGACACGGUCCAGACUCCUACGGGAGGCAGCAGUGGGGAAUAUUGCACAAUGGGCGCAAGCCUGAUGCAGCCAUGCCGCGUGUGUGAAGAAGGCCUUCGGGUUGUAAAGCACUUUCAGCGGGGAGGAAGGCGAUAAGGUUAAUAACCUUGUCGAUUGACGUUACCCGCAGAAGAAGCACCGGCUAACUCCGUGCCAGCAGCCGCGGUAAUACGGAGGGUGCAAGCGUUAAUCGGAAUUACUGGGCGUAAAGCGCACGCAGGCGGUCUGUCAAGUCGGAUGUGAAAUCCCCGGGCUCAACCUGGGAACUGCAUUCGAAACUGGCAGGCUAGAGUCUUGUAGAGGGGGGUAGAAUUCCAGGUGUAGCGGUGAAAUGCGUAGAGAUCUGGAGGAAUACCGGUGGCGAAGGCGGCCCCCUGGACAAAGACUGACGCUCAGGUGCGAAAGCGUGGGGAGCAAACAGGAUUAGAUACCCUGGUAGUCCACGCCGUAAACGAUGUCGAUUUGGAGGUUGUGCCCUUGAGGCGUGGCUUCCGGAGCUAACGCGUUAAAUCGACCGCCUGGGGAGUACGGCCGCAAGGUUAAAACUCAAAUGAAUUGACGGGGGCCCGCACAAGCGGUGGAGCAUGUGGUUUAAUUCGAUGCAACGCGAAGAACCUUACCUGGUCUUGACAUCCACAGAACUUUCCAGAGAUGGAUUGGUGCCUUCGGGAACUGUGAGACAGGUGCUGCAUGGCUGUCGUCAGCUCGUGUUGUGAAAUGUUGGGUUAAGUCCCGCAACGAGCGCAACCCUUAUCCUUUGUUGCCAGCGGUUAGGCCGGGAACUCAAAGGAGACUGCCAGUGAUAAACUGGAGGAAGGUGGGGAUGACGUCAAGUCAUCAUGGCCCUUACGACCAGGGCUACACACGUGCUACAAUGGCAUAUACAAAGAGAAGCGACCUCGCGAGAGCAAGCGGACCUCAUAAAGUAUGUCGUAGUCCGGAUUGGAGUCUGCAACUCGACUCCAUGAAGUCGGAAUCGCUAGUAAUCGUAGAUCAGAAUGCUACGGUGAAUACGUUCCCGGGCCUUGUACACACCGCCCGUCACACCAUGGGAGUGGGUUGCAAAAGAAGUAGGUAGCUUAACCUUCGGGAGGGCGCUUACCACUUUGUGAUUCAUGACUGGGGUGAA